GAGUUUGAUCCUGGCUCAGGAUGAACGCUAGCGGCAGGCUUAACACAUGCAAGUCGAGGGGUAGAGGAAGCUUGCUUCCUUGAGACCGGCGCACGGGUGCGUAACGCGUAUGCAACCUACCUUUUACAGAGGGAUAGCCCAGAGAAAUUUGGAUUAAUACCUCAUGGUAUAUAUCAUUCGCAUGUUUGAUAUAUUAAAGUUCCAACGGUAAAAGAUGGGCAUGCGUCCUAUUAGCUAGAUGGUAAGGUAACGGCUUACCAUGGCAACGAUAGGUAGGGGUCCUGAGAGGGAGAUCCCCCACACUGGUACUGAGACACGGACCAGACUCCUACGGGAGGCAGCAGUGAGGAAUAUUGGACAAUGGGCGCAAGCCUGAUCCAGCCAUGCCGCGUGCAGGAAGAAGCAUCUAUGGUGUGUAAACUGCUUUUGUACGGGAAGAAACACUCCUUCGUGAAGGAGCUUGACGGUACCGUAAGAAUAAGGAUCGGCUAACUCCGUGCCAGCAGCCGCGGUAAUACGGAGGAUCCAAGCGUUAUCCGGAAUCAUUGGGUUUAAAGGGUCCGUAGGCGGUUUGGUAAGUCAGUGGUGAAAGCCC
This 595-nucleotide ribosomal RNA is filed under the name uncultured organism. RNAcentral describes it as "bacterial SSU rRNA". It matches the Rfam family "Bacterial small subunit ribosomal RNA", at positions 9 to 603 of the family's 1533-position model. The record is from RNAcentral.